RNAcentral lists this ribosomal RNA (446 nucleotides) under uncultured bacterium. RNAcentral's name for it is "SSU rRNA". It matches the Rfam family "Bacterial small subunit ribosomal RNA", at positions 26 to 518 of the family's 1533-position model. The record is from RNAcentral.
AGAGCGAACGCUGGCGGCAGGCUUAACACAUGCAAGUCGAGCGGAUGUAGCAAUACAUCAGCGGCAGACGGGAUAGUAACACGUGGGAACGCGCCCUUUGGUUCGGAAUAACUCAGGGAAACUUGAGCUAAUACCGGAUAAGCCCUUACGGGGAAAGAUUUAUCGCCAAAGGAACGGCCCGCGUCCGAUUAGCUAGUUGGUGAGGUAAUGGCUCACCAAGGCGACGAUCGGUAGCUGGUCUGAGAGGAUGACCAGCAUCACUGGGACUGAGACACGGCCCAGACUCCUACGGGAGGCAGCAGUGGGGAAUAUUGGACAAUGGGCGCAAGCCUGAUCCAGCCAUGCCGCGUGGAUGAUGAAGGCCCUAGGGUUGUAAAGUCCUUUUAACGGGGAAGAUAAUGACGGUACCGUAGAAUAAGCCCGGCUAACUUCGUGCCAGCAGCCGC